GACUGGUCUGAGUGCAGUGGUGUUCACAACUAAUGGAUCACAACCAAUUACACAUUUAUUUGUUCCUUUCUAUUCCCACUGCUUCAUGUGACUAGCCUUAA
Molecule: Y RNA, 101 nt
Filed under: Prolemur simus (greater bamboo lemur)
Lineage: Eukaryota; Metazoa; Chordata; Mammalia; Primates; Lemuridae
Description: Y RNA (ENSPSMG00000021581.1)
Rfam family: Y RNA
About the family: Y RNAs are components of the Ro ribonucleoprotein particle (Ro RNP), in association with Ro60 and La proteins. The Y RNAs and Ro60 and La proteins are well conserved, but the function of the Ro RNP is not known. In humans the RNA component can be one of four small RNAs -- hY1, hY3, hY4 and hY5.
Source: Rfam by way of RNAcentral